CGUAGUUUUUAUUGCCAGCUAGGUAAGCCCCACAUGGUGCCUCCUCCUUCUGAUUUUUCUAGCAGCAAAAUGUCACUGAGCUGAAUUGUGCAGUCCAUGGUAAAACACAAACCUUUACUCCAUGAUGAAAGCAAAGCCUCAGUGUGUAUAACCUCUGUGUCUCUCUACUCACUGGAGAGCAGAGAGAGUUAAUUUAUGUCUGUCUGCAACAUCAUUCAUGAACUGAGCACUUGAAUUAAGUCUCAAGACCCUAAGUAGGGAAUUGUUUCUAUCUUUCUUAUGUGCUCUUGUAAGAGAAGAACUUGUUUUGGGAUGUAGUAAGUCACUUUGUCCCACUCCUGGUUUAGAUGGGCAAUCAAUGAGCAUCAAGAUUGUACACAAAUUCUUUGUAGAGUUUGUAUGUGUCUUGGGUGGAUUUCAGAAUGGACUUAAAGUUUCCUUCAAAUUCUCAUUGCAGAUUCACAGAAGGAUUGAGUCUGGAAGGGACCUGUGGAGGUCAUCUGGCCCAGCUUCCCUACUCAAGUAGAGCCAGUUGCCCAGGACCAUGUCCAGAAGGCUUCCAAGUAUCUCCGGUGAGGGAGGCUCCACAACCUCUCUUGGUAACCUGUGCCAGUGCUCAGUCAUCCUCAGAGUACAGAAGUAUUUCCUGACGUUCAGAGGGAGCCUCCUGUGUUUCAGUUUGUGCCUGUGGCCUCCUGUCCUUAACUGGGCACCACUGGAAACUCCUUGGCUCCACCUCCUUUGUGUCCUCCCUACAGACUUCUCACACUUUACUGAGGAAGGAGCACAUACAAGGGAAGAAAAACAAUGAAUUCAAGAGCAUGGAGCUGCUGAAAAACAAGGUUCACUGCCCUCUCCCCUGUGAUAACAAUGCUUGCACAGCUUGUGGAAAUAUGUCACAUUUCUGUGGUGCAGCAGAGUGGGAGGCAGAAAAUCUGGAUCUUAUUACAAGUUUGGCCAUAGUCUUCCUAUGUGAACAUGGGUAAAUUAUUUAUUUCUGCAUUCAUAAUACAGCCAUGUUAAUCACCUACUUCGCAGGGUGAAGGUGGCUGAUCUGUAGCAUUCUUGAGUGUUUAAGCAGUUGAGAUGGGACUCCUAAAAUAUGUAAAGUAUGUCUUAGUACUGUGUUUGGCUAGUAUGGAGACUUCUGGGCAACCUGAAGCUUCUCUGUGGGACAGAACAAGUGGCUACAGCUGCUAAUGCUUGUUCCACCCAGAUGUCCUGGGAUGUGGCUGCAUGGCAGCCCAGACCUCCUCUUCAACAGCUCCUCAGGUGAGUCACCCUCGUGUUCCAUCCUGUUAAGGUUUUGGUAUGAAACAUGUAGGAUUAAUGAAGUUGGCUAUCACUCCAACGUGAAAAUAAAGGAAAAUCUGCUGAGCUCUGGUGAGAAGAACUACCAGAGCAAAGCAGGCUGGAAGAGAGCAGGUGGUCCAAUCCCUCCUGCCACAUGCAUCUUUAUACCUGCAUGUCUGUUUAAGCCAUGCUUUAAAAUGUGCCACUGAUGCACCAAGCUGUUACCAAAGUGCAAAUAUCAGGAUUGAUUCAUACUACAAUGCACCUUUCAGCCAUCUUCUUGUUCUCCAAAAUAAAUAAGCUGCAUGGGUUAAAGAGUGCAGUCUUCCCCACAUGUGUCAAAAAUCUCUGGCUCACUCUGUUUGCUCAGUUGCUCUGAUCCUAUAAAUUAUGUGUACUGUGUUCAUCUUGGACUCCUACUGCCUUAUUUUCCCACUUACUGCAUAGCUUGGCAAUGUUAGAAGGGACAUAUUUCUCCUCCCCUUCCUUCUUUUUGUUUUUCUGGCUGUGCAUUUGAUUUAACUGGGACUGUAAAAUGACAGCAUUAAUUGCCAGUCUGCCACAAGCUUCACAGUUUAUUUGAUAGCGGGCACUCCUUACACCAUGGUGUAAAUGUAGCAAAGAGUCAUGCUAACGUACUCCUUCGAGUGCAGCUCGUCUGUGCAGUGUGUGUAAGAAAAAGGCCCACACUUGGCACUGACAGGGGUUGAGAAUAGAUCUGGCAAAACCUAUUCUUCCCUAGAAACUGAACCGAGAGAGUGAGCAACCUCCAGGCUCCCAGGCAGCAGCCAAGCAUCGGGCCCGGAUUCAAACUCCAUGCAAAGCUGAUGGAUGACACAGUCUAGAAAAAAAGGAAGAGGAGAGAAAGCUCCCUCUUGGUAAACAAGCUAUUCCCCAGUUGAUUCUGUUUAAGAUCCCCAUCCAGGAAAGGCUCCUGUGUGCACUUUGUACACUUACGUAAUUCCACCAAGCCGGGUGUGACAUCAGGGUGCUGCCCAAUUAAUCUAAUGUAAAAUUAUGUCUGAAGAUUAGGUGACUUCCAGGACUGGCUCUUUACUGACAAUCUUUGGACCAUUUAGAAAAAAAAAGCAUCUUUUCGGAGCAAUCAAGACACCAGGAGGAGCUCAUAAUAUGAAAUAUGGACCUGUUUUUCCUAAAAAUUUUCUAAAAUUAAAGAUUCUCAAACAUUUUAUUAUAGUUUUUCACUGCUUAGUCUUCCUUGCUAAACUACACUAAAGAUUAAAGCUUUUUGAAGGUGGAGGGGUAUAUGAAAAAGUUCAAAAGCCUUAAAAUUGCAUUAGUUGGUAGGGUGUAGCUGGUUUACCAGUUACCAAACAAUACUUAACUUCCAUACAAACACAACAUGCAAUUAAAUGCAUUCAUCUUGUUCAUCAGACUAGAACUGAAUCUUCCAGAAUUUAACUGUGCUUGAUAGCUGCACAUAACAUGAAAUGAUCUUGAAAAAGUUUGCCAUGAUAUUUAUUUCUGUCUUUUCCUCAAUUUACCAGGAACUAAGGCAGCAAAUCUGAGGGAGCAGUUUAAUAAGAAUAUGGGGCUACAGGUCCCUGAGAGACUAUAUGUGAAGUUCACAAUGGAAGCUCUGCAACUGAAGCCCUGGCAACAGAAUAAGCAGAACACACUUGGCUGUCAUUUUUCCAGUCUUCUCUGCUGCAGUGCUAAAUUGAAUGAAAGAGGAGCUAUUGACUGGCAACUCCAUGCAGAUGAAACAGUUCAAUUUCGACAAGGAAAACCUAUGUGAAGUUUCAGUGAAAAUCCACACAUGCUUUGCUCUUCUGGGUGAUGAAAUAUUUUCCUGAAGAAACCACCCAACAAUGUCAAAAUGUUUAAAGGUACUUGAUUGUGAAAUGCUGAAGAUCCUGGUGUUUGGCAUGGCUGCUCUCCCACUUGUAACCUUUUUCAAAGAAUCAAUAGAUGCUGCAUCUAAUAAUGACAAUGAGUGUGUAUUACAGAUAUACUACCUGGACCUGGAAGCUGAUGGGCAGACCUGAAAGUAUUGCAGAACUAAGUUUUAUCUGCAUGCUUCCUGAGAAUGCAGAACUGUUAAUCACAUGUGCAGAGUCUUGAAGACAAGGACCAGAAAACUCACUGAGAUUUUGAAACAACAAUAACGUAAAGCCCGUUGCAAGAUUUAAUAUAAAAUCUGAACAGUAAAGAAUUCUGUGAUGUAUCUGGUUCUUGUUUGAUGUACUUCUACUGCCACAGUUAAUAUAGUGUUUGCAGUGCACACAUAAAGCAGAUAUGCCCAGAUUCCUCUCUAAAAGAAUUAUUUUAUAGUCAUGCAUGCUAUCUUUUCUGUUAUUUCUCUCCCACAAUUUCUAUAGGCUUUAUUUAGUUAUGUAAGUUGUUCUUAACAGCUUUCAACAUAAUUUGCUUUAAGGUAACGGUAGUGAUAGAUGGUUAUAGAGAAGGCUAUAAGGAUUCUUCUAAGAAAGUUCUGAGCAAGAAGGAAGUCCCUCUUUCUUGGGGAUUUCCAGAGUCUGAGAGAAAAUAAUCCUCAAAUGAGCUAUUCAAAGACAAGAUUUUCUACUCUCAGGUGGUAAUGAUUGUUUAUUUCACUACAGCAGAAUAAAAAUCACCCUCCAGCACACCAUCAGUCAAAUUUUCAAAAUAUUUCAGCCCCCUGAAAAUAGAAUUGAAGUAGGAUCUAAGCUUUUCUAAAGGCUGGUGCCAGUUCUUCAGACAUAAAGUUCACUUUUCAGCCUUACUUACUCUGUAUGCUUGAAAACAUCAGUGAGCUGAGGAUUUUCUUGCUUUCUCUGCAGGCAUGCUGCAUGCAGGUGUGAAUAUUUUAUGCAGGAACUGCAGAAAGACAGGAACAUACAAAGCCUAUUGCACAGGCUGUCAUGUCUGGCCAAGGUGAGUCUGACUUGAACAUUCCCAAAGUAUUCCCUUCUUCCCAAAGUCAACAUGAACCCUCACUUCAGUUGUGUUAAAGUCAAGGGCUGGGCAAAGCUGACUCCAAGCAUUUAGCUGCUUAACAUCAUUAUUUUGCCCUUUGUAAAAUGGCAUCAUCAUUGGGAAACUCCUUGAAAUUCUUACCUAGAAGCUGCUUUAAAAAUUGGAACAUUAUUACUAUUAGGUUACUGUGGAACUGGAAAAAAAUUUGCCCUGAACUUUUCUCAAAUGUGUUUAUGACUAGAAGGCAGCCUACACGAGUCUGUAUCUAGACAGAUUCAUGAGCAUAAUGUUUCUCAAGGCAAAACUCAUUUUAGAGGCUCGCUAGAUUUACUUCAGACAGUUCCACCUUCCCUAUUUGGAACAGCCUGUUACCAGCCUAACUGCAAGAACUAAGCCAUUUAUGGACAGAUUUUUUUGUUUCUGUGCUAACACCACUGUCAGCAGGAGAAUGAUCACUGGAGGUGAUGCUAACUGUCAAAAAUGUAGUUGCUCUCCUGUAACAGUGACAAAAGGCUCUAAAGGGGAAGCAUGACCCUAUAAGACCUGCUUCUUCUGAUUCUAAAAGGAUCAGAUAAAAUGAGGAACUGGCUCUGGACUGUUAGGAUGGUUUUGUGAUGAGGUACAUGGCUUGGGCAAUCUGAUUAUGGGCCCUCUGCAUCUUGUACCUCCUUGAAGGUGAAAUUUGCUCUUUACCAGCUUUUCCCUUGGCGUUGCUCAUCUUUUGCUUACAACUAUCUACAUGGAUGAGAUUUUAGUAAUUUCUUACGUAAGGCAGUACAAUUUAAUGGUUUUGCCUAACUAGAACUAUACUAGUUUAUUUGAAGCAAGGGCAUGCCUUUCUGACAAAGUUCUCUCUAAACCAUUGAAUAUGUUGAACUAAUGUUUAUUUAUUUUUUGAUGAGUGCAAUGGUUUGGUAAUCAUCUAUAAAUACUUUUUCUUCCGAGUGUGCAGUGUUUAAUGUAUGGUUUUAUUUAUUAAAGAAUGGCGUGUACUUAGGUUACA
This is a long non-coding RNA of Corvus hawaiiensis (hawaiian crow), 5215 nucleotides long. RefSeq lists it as uncharacterized. NCBI's taxonomy places the organism in Eukaryota, Metazoa, Chordata, Aves, Passeriformes, Corvidae. The record is from RefSeq and is a predicted model, not a curated record. The transcript has 4 exons.